AACGUUCACACCACGCCGAAUAUACCGGCGUUCUUCCGAUCAGCGAAGUUAAGCAGUCGGGCGCGGUCAGUACUUGGAUGGGUGAUCGCCUGGGAACACCGUGUACUGUU
Eumeta japonica is the source of this 110-nucleotide non-coding RNA. NCBI's taxonomy places the organism in Eukaryota, Metazoa, Arthropoda, Insecta, Lepidoptera, Psychidae. The record is from the annotation of a GenBank genome assembly.